CCCUUAGAUGUCCUGGGCCGCACGCGCGUUACACUGAUGCAUUCAACGAGCUUAUAACCUUGGCCGAGAGGCCUGGGCAAUCUUGUUAACGUGCAUCGUGAUAGGGAUAGAUUAUUGAAAUUAUUAAUCUUGAACGAGGAAUUCCUAGUAAACGCAGAUCAUCAAUCUGCAUUGAUUACGUCCCUGCACUUUGUACACACCGCCCGUCGCACCUACCGAUUGGAUGGUCCGGUGAAGCCUCGGGAUUGUGGUUCUUGCCGCUUUAUUGUGGCGUGACCGCGAGAACUUGUCUAAACCUUAUCAUCUAGAGGAAGGUGAAGUCGUAACA
This 328-nucleotide ribosomal RNA is filed under the name uncultured eukaryote. RNAcentral's name for it is "partial 18S ribosomal RNA". It matches the Rfam family "Eukaryotic small subunit ribosomal RNA", at positions 1470 to 1796 of the family's 1831-position model. The record is from RNAcentral.